AAUCCAUGAUUAGGUAUUGUAUUAAGGAAAACUGAAAAUCUCCUCCAAUCUUGAGAACAACUUUCUCCAACCUUCUGCAUAAAGUUGGUUAUCUCAAUUCUAGAAU
This is a small nucleolar RNA of Lolium perenne, 106 nucleotides long. The record is from RefSeq and is a predicted model, not a curated record. NCBI's taxonomy places the organism in Eukaryota, Viridiplantae, Streptophyta, Magnoliopsida, Poales, Poaceae.